This 256-nucleotide ribosomal RNA is filed under the name uncultured bacterium. Its description in RNAcentral is "partial 16S ribosomal RNA". It matches the Rfam family "Bacterial small subunit ribosomal RNA", at positions 521 to 776 of the family's 1533-position model. The record is from RNAcentral.
UAAUACGGAGGAUGCAAGCGUUAUCCGGAUUUAUUGGGUUUAAAGGGUGCGCAGGCGGACUAAUAAGUCAGUGGUGAAAUUUACAUGCUUAACAUGUGACGUGCCAUUGAUACUGUUAGACUAGUAUACAAAUGACGUAGCUGGAAUGUGUUAUGUAGCGGUGAAAUGCAUAGAUAUAACACAGAACACCGAUCGUGAAGACAGGUUACGAAUUUGUGAUAGACGCUCAUGCACGAAAGCGUGGGGAUCAAACAGG